AUGCCAUGAUGUGGAAACUUAACCAGCAUACCUUUUAAUCUCUCCCAUGUUUCUUGUAGUGUUUCAGCUGGUUUCUGCUUGAAGUUCAAUAUCUCAUAAACUUGUUU
RNAcentral lists this small nucleolar RNA (107 nucleotides) under Nicotiana sylvestris (wood tobacco). Its description in RNAcentral is "Plant small nucleolar RNA R71". It matches the Rfam family "Plant small nucleolar RNA R71". From Rfam's summary of the family: R71 is a member of the C/D box family of snoRNAs containing the C (UGAUGA) and D (CUGA) box motifs. Multiple nearly identical copies of this snoRNA have been identified in Arabidopsis, and it is thought to function as a 2'-O-ribose methylation guide for 18S ribosomal RNA. RNAcentral also lists the same sequence under 1 other name. The record is from Rfam by way of RNAcentral. Lineage: Eukaryota; Viridiplantae; Streptophyta; Magnoliopsida; Solanales; Solanaceae.